RNAcentral lists this small nucleolar RNA (124 nucleotides) under Microtus ochrogaster (prairie vole). RNAcentral's name for it is "Small nucleolar RNA SNORA11 (ENSMOCG00000004570.1)". It matches the Rfam family "Small nucleolar RNA SNORA11". From Rfam's summary of the family: U107 (SNORA11) is a member of the H/ACA class of snoRNAs that guide the sites of modification of uridines to pseudouridines. This snoRNA was identified by RT-PCR from blood cells and its expression confirmed by Northern blot analysis. There is no predicted target for this guide snRNA. The record is from Rfam by way of RNAcentral. Lineage: Eukaryota; Metazoa; Chordata; Mammalia; Rodentia; Cricetidae.
CGGGUGUCCUCGGAGCAAAGGGCUUAAAGAAUGACUCUUCUGUUUACGCUUUCGACAGAAAUCUGGAGCCACUGUGGUAAGAAGCAAAAAUUGUGGCUUUGCUGUGAGCAAAUAUCCUACCCAA